Long non-coding RNA from Brienomyrus brachyistius, 827 nucleotides. RefSeq lists it as uncharacterized. The transcript is spliced from 3 exons. The record is from RefSeq and is a predicted model, not a curated record. NCBI's taxonomy places the organism in Eukaryota, Metazoa, Chordata, Actinopteri, Osteoglossiformes, Mormyridae.
AUGUUUGUGUUUCUCUCAUUCUUGUCUUUUGCAUUUUCCACUACUGGUAAUUUCUGGGCAUGUUUUGGAAAGCUCAACUUGAAUUUAAAUUUGAUACAGAUGGAGACUGUUACAUGCCGACCAAGACAGAGACUGACAAAGAGAGAGACCAUGACUGGGACAGACACAGACACUGGGAUGGAGAGAGAGACACAGACUGAGACAGGCAGACAAACCGAGAGACAUAGAGGCAGGAAUGGUGACUGAUAUAGAGGCAGAAACACAGAGGGACCGAUACAGAGACAAAAAGAGAGAGAGAGUGACUGAGACAGACAGAGGCACUUAGGGACAUAAAGAAGGAAAAAGUGAGAGAGAUUGACUGAGACAGACAAAAUCAUCAAAGGAUACAGAGACAGUGACCGAGAAAGACAAAGACACUGAGGGACACAGUGAGAGCGACAGUGACUGAGACAGUCACUGCCAGUGAAAGAAUAUGACCAAGUCCUCAUUCUGCUAGAAGCCCCAGACUGACGAUUCCCCAGGGUGAUUGUGCCUGAGAAUGUUCCCUCAUGGCAUCAUCCUCCCAAGCCCCAUCCACUAAAGCAGCCACCGGACCCAAGGACCAUCACACCUUUGAGGUGACCACUCACGCCGACCCCAGCCAUCAGCCUGGGGUUCCAGGAAAGGCGUCAUCUUCGGAGGGGCAGAAGCUGGAGUGAUAUUCGCAACCAUGCCAGAGGACAUCUCCCUGAGGCCUGGCCGCCCUCCAGGAUGCGGCCAGCUGCUACAUCCCCACACGGCAAGCAGCACAAAGCAAUCCGCUCGUCCUUUUGUUUCCCACUCAGCAC